GACGAACGCUGGCGGCGUGCCUAAUACAUGCAAGUAGAACGCUGAAGGAGGAGCUUGCUUCUCUGGAUGAGUUGCGAACGGGUGAGUAACGCGUAGGUAACCUGCCUGGUAGCGGGGGAUAACUAUUGGGAACGAUAGCUAAUACCGCAUAAGAGUAGAUGUUGCAUGACAUUUGCUUAAAAGGUGCAAUUGCAUCACUACCAGAUGGACCUGCGUUGUAUUAGCUAGUUGGUGAGGUAACGGCUCACCAAGGCGACGAUACAUAGCCGACCUGAGAGGGUGAUCGGCCACACUGGGACUGAGACACGGCCCAGACUCCUACGGGAGGCAGCAGUAGGGAAUCUUCGGCAAUGGACGGAAGUCUGACCGAGCGACGCCGCGUGAGUGAAGAAGGGUUUCGGAUCGUAAAGCUCUGUUGUAAGAGAAGAAAGAGUGUGAGAGUGGAAAGUUCACACUGUGACGGUAUCUUAACAGAAAGGGACGGCUAACUACGUG
RNAcentral lists this ribosomal RNA (495 nucleotides) under uncultured bacterium. RNAcentral's name for it is "partial 16S ribosomal RNA". It matches the Rfam family "Bacterial small subunit ribosomal RNA", at positions 28 to 507 of the family's 1533-position model. The record is from RNAcentral.